GACGAACGCUGGCGGCGUGCCUAAUACAUGCAAGUCGAACGAACCGCGACUAAGUGCUUGCACUAAGUCAAGGUGAGUGGCGAACGGGUGAGUAACACGUGGGUAACCUACCUCAUAGUGGGGGCUAACAGUCGGAAACGACUGCUACUACCGCAUAGGACAUAGGAUCACAUGAUCCAGUGAGGAAAGGUGGCGCAAGCUAUCUCUAAGAGAUGGACCCGCGGUGCAUUAGCUAGUUGGUAGGGUCAAGGCCUACCAAGGCGAUGAUGCAUAGCCGACCUGAGAGGGUGAUCGGCCACAUUGGGACUGAGACACGGCCCAAACUCCUACGGGAGGCAGCAGUAGGGAAUCUUCCGCAAAGGACGCAAGUCUGACGGAGCAACGCCGCGUGAGUGAAGAAGGUCUUCGGAUCGUAAAGCUCUGUUGUUAGAGAAGAACAGCGCAUAGAGUAACUGCGAUGCGUGUGACGGUAUCUAACCAGAAAGCCACGGCUAACUACGUG
RNAcentral lists this ribosomal RNA (502 nucleotides) under uncultured bacterium. Its description in RNAcentral is "partial 16S ribosomal RNA". It matches the Rfam family "Bacterial small subunit ribosomal RNA", at positions 28 to 507 of the family's 1533-position model. The record is from RNAcentral.